GAUGAACGCUGGCGGCGUGCCUAACACAUGCAAGUCGAACGGAGAAUAUACGCUUCWGAAGCUUCGGCAGAWRAUUGUAUAUUCUUAGUGGCGGACGGGUGAGUAACGCGUGGGCAACCUGCCUCAUACUGGGGGAUAACAGCUGGAAACGACUGUUAAUACCGCAUAAGCGCACAGUGUCGCAUGACACAGUGUGAAAAACUCCGGUGGUAUGAGAUGGGCCCGCGUCAGAUUAGCCAGUUGGCGGGGUAACGGCCCACCAAAGCGACGAUCUGUAGCCGGCCUGAGAGGGCGGACGGCCACAUUGGGACUGAGACACGGCCCAAACUCCUACGGGAGGCAGCAGUGGGGGAUAUUGCACAAUGGAGGAAACUCUGAUGCAGCGACGCCGCGUGAGUGAAGAAGUAUUUCGGUAUGUAAAGCUCUAUCAGCAGGGAAGAAAGGCUCGUAAGAGAGAUGACGUAC
RNAcentral lists this ribosomal RNA (465 nucleotides) under bacterium AB2012. RNAcentral describes it as "bacterial SSU rRNA". It matches the Rfam family "Bacterial small subunit ribosomal RNA", at positions 28 to 478 of the family's 1533-position model. The record is from RNAcentral.